CCUGUGUCAGCCCACCGUCUUUCUGUGGGGUAGUCACUUUUUCAGGGCUUCUGACCAAUCAGCACAUGUUCAUACUAAACCUAUUAUGCGUCUUGUCUAGUCCCAUGAAGGAACUCUCCCACCCCAGGCUGUGGCAUGAUGAUUAAGACACAGUCUGUACGGGAUUGCUCAUAGACUCAUGGAGCCACAGUUUCAGUUUGUUAUGGUACUUGCUUUAAUGAAGGCAUUGUUGUUUGGUUUCUUUUUAAAGAUUUUUUUUAUCUUAUAUGUGUGAGUCUUUGCCUGCGUACAUGCAUGCCCACCAUGUGCGGACCUAAUUCCAUCAUCAGUGCUGAAAAAAAAUCAAUGUUUGAAAAUGUGAUACUUGGCCAGCUAUGAAGAGAGCAGAAACAGUAACAGGCACAUGUUCCUACUUGAAGAUGGAGUCAGAUCGUUAAAGUAGACGUGAAGGCUCCAACAUGACAGCGAUUCCAAAUAUAGAGGUCAUUACAGGGGAAAAGGACAAUAUAGCAAGAACGGGAAGAGUCUGAAGAGACCAGAGGCAAGCUCCAGUUGUCCCCAAGAGGACUUUCUGUCUAUAACCUGAAACCACAAAAGUUUAACUUCAGAGGCCCAGACUGCGGUCCUUCGUUUCCUUGUUGGAACCCAUGAGUUGUUGAGAUCAUCAGGGAACAAUACUUUCAUCCACUGAGACAGCUGCCAGAUGUUGAUGGCAAAGAGCAAACAAGAGAACAAGGAUACAAAAGAUAUGAUAGCUUUCCAAUCUUAUGGGGCAAGAAGCCAAUUAACUCUGAGAAAUUCCUAAGGGAGUCAUCAUAUCAUAUAAAACUAGUUCUGCUGGAUCCAUGAAAAUGAAAAACCAAGGCCCCAAAGGCCAUCAUUGCACUCAGGCCAUACUAUGCUUGUGACAUACUGAGUAGUAUGCACAUUGCACACACUUCAGAGUUUGGAAGGAGACAUCACCAUGAUGUGUGGCAAG
RNAcentral lists this long non-coding RNA (979 nucleotides) under Cricetulus griseus (Chinese hamster). Its description in RNAcentral is "lncRNA (ENSCGRG00015037400.1)". The record is from RNAcentral. Lineage: Eukaryota; Metazoa; Chordata; Mammalia; Rodentia; Cricetidae.